RNAcentral lists this ribosomal RNA (439 nucleotides) under uncultured bacterium. Its description in RNAcentral is "partial 16S ribosomal RNA". It matches the Rfam family "Bacterial small subunit ribosomal RNA", at positions 339 to 795 of the family's 1533-position model. The record is from RNAcentral.
CUACGGGCUGCUGCAGUGAGGAAUAUUGCACAAUGGAGGAAACUCUGAUGCAGCAACGCCGCGUGGAGGAUGACGCAUUUCGGUGUGUAAACUCCUUCUAUAUGUCAAGAAAAUGACGGUAGCAUAUGAAUAAGCUCCGGCUAACUCCGUGCCAGCAGCCGCGGUAAUACGGAGGGAGCAAGCGUUACUCGGAAUCACUGGGCGUAAAGGACGCGUAGGCGGGGUAGAAAGUCAGGUGUGAAAUCCUAUGGCUCAACCAUAGAACUGCACUUGAAACUUCAAACCUAGAGUAUGGGAGGGGAAGAUGGAAUUAGUGGUGUAGGGGUAAAAUCCGUAGAUAUCACUAGGAAUACCAAAAGCGAAGGCGAUCUUCUGGAACAAUACUGACGCUAAGGCGUGAAAGCGUGGGGAGCAAACAGGAUUAGAUACCCCUGUAGUC